Molecule: ribosomal RNA, 274 nt
Filed under: uncultured bacterium
Lineage: Bacteria
Description: partial 16S ribosomal RNA
Rfam family: Bacterial small subunit ribosomal RNA
Source: RNAcentral
AUACGGAGGGUGCAAGCGUUACUCGGAAUCACUGGGCGUAAAGCGCGCGCAGGCGGCUAUUUAAGUUGGAUGUGAAAGCCUACGGCUCAACCGUAGAACUGCAUCCAAAACUAUUUAGCUAGAGUGGGGGAGAGGAAGAUGGAAUUAGUUGUGUAGGGGUAAAAUCCGUAGAGAUAACUAGGAAUACCAAAAGCGAAGGCAAUCUUCUGGAACACUACUGACGCUGAGACGCGAAAGCGUGGGGAGCAAACAGGAGUAGAAACCCUAGUAGUCC